GACGAACGCUGGCGGCGUGCUUAACACAUGCAAGUCGAACGGAAAGGCCCUGCUUUUGUGGGGUGCUCGAGUGGCGAACGGGUGAGUAACACGUGAGUAACCUGCCCUUGACUUUGGGAUAACUUCAGGAAACUGGGGCUAAUACCGGAUAGGAGCUCCUGCUGCAUGGUGGGGGUUGGAAAGUUUCGGCGGUUGGGGAUGGACUCGCGGCUUAUCAGCUUGUUGGUGGGGUAGUGGCUUACCAAGGCUUUGACGGGUAGCCGGCCUGAGAGGGUGACCGGCCACAUUGGGACUGAGAUACGGCCCAGACUCGUACGGGAGGCAGCGGUGGGGAAUAUUGCACAAUGGGCGGAAGCCUGAUGCAGCAACGCCGCGUGCGGGAUGACGGCCUUCGGGUUGUAAACCGCUUUCGCCUGUGACGAAGCGUGAGUGACGGUAAUGGGUAAAGAAGCACCGGCUAACUACGUG
RNAcentral lists this ribosomal RNA (468 nucleotides) under uncultured bacterium. RNAcentral's name for it is "partial 16S ribosomal RNA". It matches the Rfam family "Bacterial small subunit ribosomal RNA", at positions 28 to 507 of the family's 1533-position model. The record is from RNAcentral.